GACGAACGCUGGCGGCGUGCUUAACACAUGCAAGUCGAACGGAAAGGCCCUGCUUUUGUGGGGUGCUCGAGUGGCGAACGGGUGAGUAACACGUGAGUAACCUGCCCUUGACUUUGGGAUAACUUCAGGAAACUGGGGCUAAUAACGGAUAGGAUCUCCUGCUGCAUGGUGGGGGUUGGAAAGUUUCGGCGGUUGGGGAUGGACUCGCGGCUUAUCAGCUUGUUGGUGGGGUAGUGGCUUACCAAGGCUUUGACGGGUAGCCGGCCUGAGAGGGUGACCGGGCACAUUGGGACUGAGAUACGCCCCAGACUCGUACGGGAGGCAGCAGUGGGAAAUAUUGCGCAAUGGGCGGAAGCCUGAUGCGGCAGCGCCGCGUGCGGGAUGACGGCCUACGGGUUGUAAACCGCUUUCGCCUGUGACGAGGCGUGAGUGACGGUAAUGAGUAAAGAAGCACCGGCUAACUACGUG
This 468-nucleotide ribosomal RNA is filed under the name uncultured bacterium. RNAcentral's name for it is "partial 16S ribosomal RNA". It matches the Rfam family "Bacterial small subunit ribosomal RNA", at positions 28 to 507 of the family's 1533-position model. The record is from RNAcentral.